UUAAAGGUUUUUCUAAAAACUAUUUUCAGUAUCAUAAAUAAGUAAG
Non-coding RNA from Haliaeetus albicilla (white-tailed eagle), 46 nucleotides. NCBI's taxonomy places the organism in Eukaryota, Metazoa, Chordata, Aves, Accipitriformes, Accipitridae. The record is from Rfam.